UACGUCCCUGCUCCUUGCAACACACCGCCCGUCGCUUCACCCGAGUUUGGCUUGGACGAGGUUAUCUCUUGUUCGGGUAAUCGAAUCCGAGUUAGGCAAGGGGGAG
Molecule: ribosomal RNA, 106 nt
Filed under: uncultured bacterium
Lineage: Bacteria
Description: partial 16S ribosomal RNA
Rfam family: Archaeal small subunit ribosomal RNA
Source: RNAcentral